This 233-nucleotide ribosomal RNA is filed under the name uncultured bacterium. Its description in RNAcentral is "partial 16S ribosomal RNA". It matches the Rfam family "Bacterial small subunit ribosomal RNA", at positions 794 to 1025 of the family's 1533-position model. The record is from RNAcentral.
UCCACGCAGUAAACGAUGAAUGUUAGUCGUCGGGAUGCAAGUCAUUUCGGUGAUGCAGUUAACACAUUAAACAUUCCGCCUGGGGAGUACGGUCGCAAGAUUAAAACUCAAAGGAAUAGACGGGGACCCGCACAAGUGGUGGAGCAUGUGGUUUAAUUCGAAGAUACGCGAAGAACCUUACCUAGCCUUGACAUAUUUUAGAACUCCGUAGAGAUACAGAGGUGCCUUCGGGA